Molecule: unclassified non-coding RNA, 379 nt
Filed under: Hevea brasiliensis (rubber tree)
Lineage: Eukaryota; Viridiplantae; Streptophyta; Magnoliopsida; Malpighiales; Euphorbiaceae
Source: RNAcentral
GGAGAAUAUGUUUUUCUAUCUGGUUUCGGCCCUUUCCUUUCUUCUUCUUGUCUUAAACUUUUGGUUAAGAACAAGCACACAACACAGAAACCUCCCACCAAGCCCGCCUGCUCUUCCAAUUAUAGGUCAUCUCCAUCUGGUCAAUCUUCCCCUCCAUCGAUCUCUCCAUACUCUUUCACAUAAAUAUGGUCCAAUAAUUUCUCUCCGUUUCGGUUCCUGCCGAGUUAUGGUUGUAUCAUCACCGUCCGCGGUGGAAGAAUGCUUCACCACAAAUGACAUCGUUUUCGCCAAUCGUCCUCCCUUUACCUUGAGCAAGUACGUUUCAUACAAAAACACCACCCUUGCAACAGCCUCAUAUGGCGACCACUGGCGCAACCUC